This 1448-nucleotide long non-coding RNA is filed under the name Lathyrus oleraceus (garden pea). RNAcentral's name for it is "Pisum sativum (pea) long non-coding RNA (PSAT_LNC003300)". Lineage: Eukaryota; Viridiplantae; Streptophyta; Magnoliopsida; Fabales; Fabaceae. The record is from RNAcentral.
AACAGCUUCCUAUUCAAAGAGUUGAGUAUAUCUAUCAUAGGCUUCAUCAUCUUUGUUAUGGUCAUUGCAACGUUCUUGAUAAUUUUGGACAACAACAUGUAAAGUUCAACAAUUGGAUUUUUUUUAAUAGAACCAUUGUCUUCUUUCAUUUCAUUAUUUGGUCUUGGUUGAUUCUCUUUCUCUGUUGGUUUUCUUCUUCUUCUUUUUUUGAUGGUUUGAGUUUGACUUUCUCAGGACUCCUUAAAGGAGCGGUUAAGGCAGAUUUCAUCUUCAUUGUGGAUGAACGUUCCUGUACUUCUGCUUCAUCGAUAACUCACCCUGCUGAAGUGUGGAACAAGCAUUGAGUGCUUUUCACCCUCAUGUAAGCUCUUUGACAAGUAUGACUCAGCAACUACAGGAAGAAAAUCUUUCAUCUGAAUCUCAGCAUCCGUAAAUGUGGUUUGGCUAUCAAGAUGAACUGUAGCCUUUGAAGUAAGUGAGGAAUCUUGAAGAAAAUACAGCAAAGGCUUCUUGAUGUUGAAUUUGUCGUUAGGGUAUAAAAGAGAUGACGAGUCUGAUGAGAAUGAUUGUUGAGGUUCAUUAAUGGCUGACAACUGCAACUUCAUCAAGUCUAAUAACAAGGAUAUAUUUGCACCAUCUGUACGCGGCUCAGCAGUUCCUGAUUUUAGGAGGUUUGAAACUGUAUCAUGCUUAGUGCAUUUCUCAACAAUGCCAAAACCUAAAAGUACUGCAUUUGAGCAGGAUUCUUGUGCAUCAAUUGAUACCAGCCAUUGAGCAGAGGAAUCAACAUUGACGAGCUGACUUUCAUCAAACCAUUUAUUUUGCUGUUAACUUGUUGAACUUUGAGCUGAUGGACACUUUUUGCAGGCAUUUGUUCAAGUUACGGGUGGUAUACUCUUUACCCAAGUGAGUUUGCAUUGCAGGAGGUCCAAGUGAUGGAAGCGGUAACUUCUUGGUCUCUAACUACCCUUCAUGUGCAUUGCAGGGUCGGUGAGUUUAUGCAGAAACGCUGCAUUUGACGUUGUGCAAAUUUCUUAGAACAUGGCAUAUUCUAUUGAGCUGUCAUAUGCAUGAUAGAUUUACAUCUUCGGUUGGUCCUUUGCAGGUCACGCACACAUGGACAGAAUUAGCAUGAAAGCUCCCACUUGCAACUGCUGAAUUGCCUUGGAAUGAAUGAAGAGAAAGACUAAGAUCCUGUGUCGAGCUGUUUGUUCUUGAGAUCACAAGAAAAGUGGCUUUGAAAAUUCAUCGAAUUGCCAACAAAACUCGUCGGAAAAACGUGAAAGCAUCAUUGUCAAUACUUGAUUGAAUGAAAUCUGAAUGAUUAUAGUUCUGCUGCAAAUUGUAACAAGAAGAUUAUGAAUUUUCCGCCGCGAUAACCAUUUUAAUUGUCUUUGUAAACCAUUAUUGUUAUCCUCCUUGAACUUGAAUCAUUUCUCCACCAGUAC